Molecule: transfer RNA, 66 nt
Filed under: Ursus arctos (brown bear)
Lineage: Eukaryota; Metazoa; Chordata; Mammalia; Carnivora; Ursidae
Description: tRNA-proline
Source: RNAcentral
CCAUUAGCUUUGGGUGCUGGUAGUGGAGCUGUUGCUUCUUCCUUGAGUCUUAGGGAGGGUCAGGUA